GGCACGGUGGCGCAGUGGUUAGCAGUGUUGCUUCACAAUAAGAAGGUUCCGGGUUCAAAUCCCGGCCAGCCA
Gymnothorax javanicus (giant moray) is the source of this 72-nucleotide non-coding RNA. The record is from the annotation of a GenBank genome assembly. NCBI's taxonomy places the organism in Eukaryota, Metazoa, Chordata, Actinopteri, Anguilliformes, Muraenidae.